CCUACGGGAGGCAGCAGUGGGGAAUAUUGGGCAAUGGAGGCAACUCUGACCCAGCAACGCCGCGUGAAUGAUGAAGGUCUUCGGAUUGUAAAGUUCUGUGAUGGGGGAUGAACACAAUGACGGUACCCCAAUAGCAAGCCACGGCUAACUACGUGCCAGCAGCCGCGGUAAUACGUAGGUGGCAAGCGUUAUCCGGAAUGACUGGGCGUAAAGGGUGCGUAGGUGGUUUAGUAAGUUGGCGGUGUAAUUCCGGGGCUCAACCUCGGCGCUACCGCCAAAACUAUUAGACUAGAGUGCAGGAGGGGUAAGUGGAAUUCCUAGUGUAGCGGUGGAAUGCGUAGAUAUAUGGAAGAACACCAGUGGCGAAAGCGGCUCUCUGGUCUGUAACUGACGCUGAGGUUCGAAAGCGUGGGUAGCAAACAGGAUUAGAUACCCGGGUAGUC
Molecule: ribosomal RNA, 443 nt
Filed under: uncultured bacterium
Lineage: Bacteria
Description: partial 16S ribosomal RNA
Rfam family: Bacterial small subunit ribosomal RNA
Source: RNAcentral